UUAAGCGACUAAGCGUACACGGUGGAUGCCCUGGCAGUCAGAGGCGAUGAAGGACGUGCUAAUCUGCGAUAAGCGUCGGUAAGGUGAUAUGAACCGUUAUAACCGGCGAUUUCCGAAUGGGGAAACCCAGUGUGAUUCGUCACACUAUCAUUAACUGAAUCCAUAGGUUAAUGAGGCGAACCGGGGGAACUGAAACAUCUAAGUACCCCGAGGAAAAGAAAUCAACCGAGAUUCCCCCAGUAGCGGCGAGCGAACGGGGAGCAGCCCAGAGCCUGAAUCAGUGUGUGUGUUAGUGGAAGCGUCUGGAAAGGCGCGCGAUACAGGGUGACAGCCCCGUACACAAAAAUGCACAUGCUGUGAGCUCGAUGAGUAGGGCGGGACACGUGGUAUCCUGUCUGAAUAUGGGGGGACCAUCCUCCAAGGCUAAAUACUCCUGACUGACCGAUAGUGAACCAGUACCGUGAGGGAAAGGCGAAAAGAACCCCGGCGAGGGGAGUGAAAAAGAACCUGAAACCGUGUACGUACAAGCAGUGGGAGCACGCUUAGGCGUGUGACUGCGUACCUUUUGUAUAAUGGGUCAGCGACUUAUAUUCUGUAGCAAGGUUAACCGAAUAGGGGAGCCGAAGGGAAACCGAGUCUUAACUGGGCGUUAAGUUGCAGGGUAUAGACCCGAAACCCGGUGAUCUAGCCAUGGGCAGGUUGAAGGUUGGGUAACACUAACUGGAGGACCGAACCGACUAAUGUUGAAAAAUUAGCGGAUGACUUGUGGCUGGGGGUGAAAGGCCAAUCAAACCGGGAGAUAGCUGGUUCUCCCCGAAAGCUAUUUAGGUAGCGCCUCGUGAAUUCAUCUCCGGGGGUAGAGCACUGUUUCGGCAAGGGGGUCAUCCCGACUUACCAACCCGAUGCAAACUGCGAAUACCGGAGAAUGUUAUCACGGGAGACACACGGCGGGUGCUAACGUCCGUCGUGAAGAGGGAAACAACCCAGACCGCCAGCUAAGGUCCCAAAGUCAUGGUUAAGUGGGAAACGAUGUGGGAAGGCCCAGACAGCCAGGAUGUUGGCUUAGAAGCAGCCAUCAUUUAAAGAAAGCGUAAUAGCUCACUGGUCGAGUCGGCCUGCGCGGAAGAUGUAACGGGGCUAAACCAUGCACCGAAGCUGCGGCAGCGACGCUUAUGCGUUGUUGGGUAGGGGAGCGUUCUGUAAGCCUGUGAAGGUGUGCUGUGAGGCAUGCUGGAGGUAUCAGAAGUGCGAAUGCUGACAUAAGUAACGAUAAAGCGGGUGAAAAGCCCGCUCGCCGGAAGACCAAGGGUUCCUGUCCAACGUUAAUCGGGGCAGGGUGAGUCGACCCCUAAGGCGAGGCCGAAAGGCGUAGUCGAUGGGAAACAGGUUAAUAUUCCUGUACUUGGUGUUACUGCGAAGGGGGGACGGAGAAGGCUAUGUUGACCGGGCGACGGUUGUCCCGGUUUAAGCGUGUAGGCUGGUUUUCCAGGCAAAUCCGGAAAAUCAAGGCUGAGGCGUGAUGACGAGGCACUACGGUGCUGAAGCAACAAAUGCCCUGCUUCCAGGAAAAGCCUCUAAGCAUCAGGUAACAUCAAAUCGUACCCCAAACCGACACAGGUGGUCAGGUAGAGAAUACCAAGGCGCUUGAGAGAACUCGGGUGAAGGAACUAGGCAAAAUGGUGCCGUAACUUCGGGAGAAGGCACGCUGAUAUGUAGGUGAAGCGACUUGCUCGUGGAGCUGAAAUCAGUCGAAGAUACCAGCUGGCUGCAACUGUUUAUUAAAAACACAGCACUGUGCAAACACGAAAGUGGACGUAUACGGUGUGACGCCUGCCCGGUGCCGGAAGGUUAAUUGAUGGGGUCAGCGCAAGCGAAGCUCUUGAUCGAAGCCCCGGUAAACGGCGGCCGUAACUAUAACGGUCCUAAGGUAGCGAAAUUCCUUGUCGGGUAAGUUCCGACCUGCACGAAUGGCGUAAUGAUGGCCAGGCUGUCUCCACCCGAGACUCAGUGAAAUUGAACUCGCUGUGAAGAUGCAGUGUACCCGCGGCAAGACGGAAAGACCCCGUGAACCUUUACUAUAGCUUGACACUGAACAUUGAGCCUUGAUGUGUAGGAUAGGUGGGAGGCUUGGAAGUGUGGACGCCAGUCUGCAUGGAGCCGACCUUGAAAUACCACCCUUUAAUGUUUGAUGUUCUAACGUUGACCCGUAAUCCGGGUUGCGGACAGUGUCUGGUGGGUAGUUUGACUGGGGCGGUCUCCUCCUAAAGAGUAACGGAGGAGCACGAAGGUUGGCUAAUCCUGGUCGGACAUCAGGAGGUUAGUGCAAUGGCAUAAGCCAGCUUGACUGCGAGCGUGACGGCGCGAGCAGGUGCGAAAGCAGGUCAUAGUGAUCCGGUGGUUCUGAAUGGAAGGGCCAUCGCUCAACGGAUAAAAGGUACUCCGGGGAUAACAGGCUGAUACCGCCCAAGAGUUCAUAUCGACGGCGGUGUUUGGCACCUCGAUGUCGGCUCAUCACAUCCUGGGGCUGAAGUAGGUCCCAAGGGUAUGGCUGUUCGCCAUUUAAAGUGGUACGCGAGCUGGGUUUAGAACGUCGUGAGACAGUUCGGUCCCUAUCUGCCGUGGGCGCUGGAGAACUGAGGGGGGCUGCUCCUAGUACGAGAGGACCGGAGUGGACGCAUCACUGGUGUUCGGGUUGUCAUGCCAAUGGCACUGCCCGGUAGCUAAAUGCGGAAGAGAUAAGUGCUGAAAGCAUCUAAGCACGAAACUUGCCCCGAGAUGAGUUCUCCCUGACCCUUUAAGGGUCCUGAAGGAACGUUGAAGACGACGACGUUGAUAGGCCGGGUGUGUAAGCGCAGCGAUGCGUUGAGCUAACCGGUACUAAUGAACCGUGAGGCUUAACCUU
Molecule: ribosomal RNA, 2902 nt
Filed under: Escherichia coli 1827-70
Lineage: Bacteria; Pseudomonadati; Pseudomonadota; Gammaproteobacteria; Enterobacterales; Enterobacteriaceae
Description: bacterial LSU rRNA
Rfam family: Bacterial large subunit ribosomal RNA
Source: RNAcentral